AGGUACAACGGUGGUCUCUCUAUACAUAGGGACAUCACCCUCGGCCGUAGCCCGAGUAGCAAGGUGAUUGACUAGCACGCUCCUAGUAGUCCCUAGCUAGGCGCGACUCCCUUGCCACGAUCCCUAGUCUCUCCUGUACUAGGCUCUGUAAAAACAACCACCAAAAGGGCGUGAGAACUAUAAACAAUAGUUCCCAGUGGGUAAGCCGCCAGCCUCGGCGAAUUACACCACUAGGCUCAUGAUGUACUAAAUGGAAAUAAAAGCAGUAAUUUGCAUGAUAUAUUUUCAAUGCUAACAAGUAAUGAACAUGUAAGCAACAUGUAAUCAUAAUCUCAACAGUAAUGAAUCAACUGAAUGGUAGAAGCAUGGCAACUACUAUAAGCACGAACAUAAGCAUAAAUGUGUAAGUACUACUGUACACUGUAACUAGUAAGCAUUCAUUACUGUCCUUUGUCAUUUAGUACUUUCACAUCAAUAGAGUUUUACUUUCAUUCACAGGGAUCUACUCAAGGUAGUCCAGCUUGCGCCGCGCCUAAUGGCCCCGUGGUAGUAUACACUCCCCACGGCAAUCCACUUCGGCACCCAAUCCCGCACGGGCGAGCAACUGUCGCGUAGGCCAACUCCGGAGUGCCGGCUUGUAGGGAGCUACCCUCACAAGCGUGUGCGAAUGAGCACAAUGGCAAGCAAGCAAGGUCCACAGUCCAACAUGUCUCAAUUAUUAUAAUUUCAUUUGCAAUGUUCUCGGUCUCGAUCCUCGAUCGGAAUUUCAAUAUAACAAAUAUGAACAAUAACUAGAAUCCACUAGUUUAGUAAGCAUGUAAGAGUAAUGCUAAUUUACAGGCAUUAGAAUCUUUUCACUAUCAUGGCACUACCAACGUAGUCCCAAAGCAUGUCACGGUUCUCUACUUUAGAGUCAAUAUCAUUAUUUUCUACUUUACAAAAACAUAAUUAUCAUGUCCAUUGGUUAUUCAACUGAACUAAAGAUAAACAUAAACAUAAGCAUAAAUACUGUUAUGCAUAAAUUCUCUCUACUUCAUAGAGAUUCUAGUCAAUGUUAUGGCAAAGAAGUUCCAAAGAACCAUAUAGUGACAAUAUCGCACAACUAUAUCAAUUCGAUACAUAUAGAACAUAGGGGAGCUUCACUUGCUCUGGUUAGGUCAAACCCACCUCGUACUAGGUUCCAAAGAAGUUUACAAGGGUCCCAAAAUCAGCCCCACGAAGUCACACUCCUGCUGAAAAUAAGGCAUCAAAGCCGAGUCAAAAUGACGACCGAAUGUCCGAUUUCGGCC
RNAcentral lists this long non-coding RNA (1289 nucleotides) under Ananas comosus (pineapple). RNAcentral describes it as "long non-coding RNA (ACOM_LNC039202)". The record is from RNAcentral. Lineage: Eukaryota; Viridiplantae; Streptophyta; Magnoliopsida; Poales; Bromeliaceae.